AAUAAAUUAAUAAGUGCAAAUGGCGGAUGCCUAGGCACCAGAAGCCGAUGAAGGUCGUAGGAGGCUGCGAAAAGCCUCGGGGAGCCGCCAACCAGGCUUCGAUCCGAGGAUUACCGAAUGGGGAAACCCGGCUGGAGUAAUGUCCAGUCAUUUCUCUCUGAAUAAAUAGGAGAGUCAAAGGUAACGAGGGGAAGUGAAACAUCUCAGUACCCUCAGGAAGAGAAAACAACCGUGAUUCCGUUAGUAGUGGCGAGCGAAAGCGGAAGAGGCUAAACCAAUCAUGUGCCAAGCCGGCAGGCGUUGCAUGAUCGGUGUCGUGGGACUAAAUGAAAUUAACUGCCGUUAAUUUAACAAGUCAGAAAAUAGUGAAAUAGAUGAAGGACGUGGGAAAGUCCGGCAUAGAAGGU
Molecule: ribosomal RNA, 407 nt
Filed under: Methylophilales bacterium BACL14 MAG-120920-bin58
Lineage: Bacteria; Pseudomonadati; Pseudomonadota; Betaproteobacteria; Nitrosomonadales
Description: bacterial LSU rRNA
Rfam family: Bacterial large subunit ribosomal RNA
Source: RNAcentral